GAGAAUGUCUAAAGAACUGCUAACUCUUUACUCCAUACCUAACCAGCAUGGCUUUCUCA
RNAcentral lists this transfer RNA (59 nucleotides) under Perameles gunnii (eastern barred bandicoot). RNAcentral describes it as "transfer RNA-Ser". Lineage: Eukaryota; Metazoa; Chordata; Mammalia; Peramelemorphia; Peramelidae. The record is from RNAcentral.